CCUACGGGGCGCAGCAGUGGGGAAUAUUGGACAAUGGGCGAAAGCCUGAUCCAGCCAUGCCGCGUGUGUGAAGAAGGCCUUCGGGUUGUAAAGCACUUUCAGUGGGGAAGAAAGCCUUGGGGCUAAUACCCUCGAGGAAGGACAUCACCCACAGAAGAAGCACCGGCUAACUCCGUGCCAGCAGCCGCGGUAAUACGGAGGGUGCGAGCGUUAAUCGGAAUUACUGGGCGUAAAGCGCGCGUAGGCGGUCUGAUAAGCCGGUUGUGAAAGCCCCGGGCUCAACCUGGGAACGGCAUCCGGAACUGUCAGGCUAGAGUGCAGUAGAGGAAGGUAGAAUUCCCGGUGUAGCGGUGAAAUGCGUAGAGAUCGGGAGGAAUACCAGUGGCGAAGGCGGCCUUCUGGACUGACACUGACGCUGAGGUGCGAAAGCGUGGGUAGCAAACAGGAUUAGAUACCCCGGUAGUC
RNAcentral lists this ribosomal RNA (465 nucleotides) under Vreelandella stevensii. Its description in RNAcentral is "partial 16S ribosomal RNA". It matches the Rfam family "Bacterial small subunit ribosomal RNA", at positions 338 to 795 of the family's 1533-position model. The record is from RNAcentral. Lineage: Bacteria; Pseudomonadati; Pseudomonadota; Gammaproteobacteria; Oceanospirillales; Halomonadaceae.